UUCCCUCCAGAGUGGAUCCUGAGUACGGCGGAACACGUGAAAUUCCGUCGGAAUCCGGGAGGACCAUCUCCCAAGGCUAAAUACUCCCUAGUGACCGAUAGUGAACCAGUACCGUGAGGGAAAGGUGAAAAGCACCCCGGAAGGGGAGUGAAACAGUUCCUGAAACCGUGUGCCUACAAGUAGUUAGAGCCCGUUAAUGGGUGAUAGCGUGCCUUUUGUAGAAUGAACCGGCGAGUUACGAUUUGUUGCAAGGUUAAGCGGAAAAAGCGGAGCCGUAGCGAAAGCGAGUCUGAAUAGGGCGCAUAAGUAACAGGUCGUAGACCCGAAACCAGGUGAUCUACCCAUGUCCAGGAUGAAGGUAAGGUAAUACUUACUGGAGGUCCGAACCCACGCACGUUGAAAAGUGCGGGGAUGAGGUGUGGGUAGCGGAGAAAUUCCAAUCGAACUUGGAGAUAGCUGGUUCUCUCCGAAAUAGCUUUAGGGCUAGCCUCGAGGUAAAGAGUCAUGGAGGUAGAGCACUGUUUGGACUAGGGGCCCUUCUCGGGUUACCGAAUUCAGAUAAACUCCGAAUGCCAUGUACUUAUACUCGGGAGUCAGACUGCGAGUGAUAAGAUCCGUAGUCGAAAGGGAAACAGCCCAGACCACCAGUUAAGGUCCCCAAAUAUAUGUUAAGUGGAAAAGGAUGUGGGGUUGCUUAGACAACCAGGAUGUUGGCUUAGAAGCAGCCACCAUUGAAAGAGUGCGUAAUAGCUCACUGGUCGAGUGACCCCGCGCCGAAAAUGUACCGGGGCUAAACAUAUUACCGAAACUGUGGAUGAACCUCUUUAGAGGUUCGUGGUAGGAGAGCGUUCUAAGGGCGGUGAAGUCAGACCGGAAGGACUGGUGGAGCGCUUAGAAGUGAGAAUGCCGGUAUGAGUAGCGAAAGAAGGGUGAGAAUCCCUUCCACCGAAUAUCUAAGGUUUCCUGAGGAAGGCUCGUCCGCUCAGGGUUAGUCGGGACCUAAGCCGAGGCCGAUAGGCGUAGGCGAUGGACAACAGGUAGAGAUUCCUGUACCAGUGCUAAUUGUUUAACCGAUGGGGUGACACAGAAGGAUAGGGAAUCGCACGAAUGGAAAUGUGCGUCCAAGCAGUGAGUGUGAGAAGUAGGCAAAUCCGCUUCUCGCGAAGCAUGAGCUGUGAUGGGGAAGGAAAUUAAGUACGGAAGUUCCUGAUUUCACGCUGUCAAGAAAAGCCUCUAGGAAGAGUAGUACUGCCCGUACCGCAAACCGACACAGGUAGAUGAGGAGAGAAUCCUAAGGUGAGCGAGAGAACUCUCGUUAAGGAACUCGGCAAAAUGACCCCGUAACUUCGGGAGAAGGGGUGCUCUAUUAGGGUGCAAGCCCGAGAGAGCCGCAGUGAAUAGGCCCAGGCGACUGUUUAGCAAAAACACAGGUCUCUGCAAAACCGUAAGGUGACGUAUAGGGGCUGACGCCUGCCCGGUGCUGGAAGGUUAAGAGGAGUGCUUAGCUUCGGCGAAGGUACGAAUUGAAGCCCCAGUAAACGGCGGCCGUAACUAUAACGGUCCUAAGGUAGCGAAAUUCCUUGUCGGGUAAGUUCCGACCCGCACGAAAGGCGCAACGAUCUGGGCACUGUCUCAACGAGAGACUCGGUGAAAUUAUAGUACCUGUGAAGAUGCAGGUUACCCGCGACAGGACGGAAAGACCCCGUGGAGCUUUACUGCAACCUGAUAUGGAAUGUUUGUACCGCUUGUACAGGAUAGGUAGGAGCCGAAGAGACGUGUGCGCUAGCAUACGAGGAGGCAAUGGUGGGAUACUACCCUGGCUGUAUGACCAUUCUAACCCGCCACGCUUAGCGCGUGGGGAGACAGUGUCAGGUGGGCAGUUUGACUGGGGCGGUCGCCUCCUAAAGAGUAACGGAGGCGCCCAAAGGUUCCCUCAGAAUGGAUGGAAAUCAUUCGCAGAGUGUAAAGGCACAAGGGAGCUUGACUGCGAGACUGACAAGUCGAGCAGGGACGAAAGUCGGGCUUAGUGAUCCGGUGGUUCCGCAUGGAAGGGCCAUCGCUCAACGGAUAAAAGCUACCCCGGGGAUAACAGGCUUAUCUCCCCCAAGAGUCCACAUCGACGGGGAGGUUUGGCACCUCGAUGUCGGCUCGUCGCAUCCUGGGGCUGUAGUCGGUCCCAAGGGUUGGGCUGUUCGCCCAUUAAAGCGGCACGCGAGCUGGGUUCAGAACGUCGUGAGACAGUUCGGUCCCUAUCCGUCGCGGGCGCAGGAAAUUUGAGAGGAGCUGUCCUUAGUACGAGAGGACCGGGAUGGACACACCGCUGGUGUACCAGUUGUUCCGCCAGGAGCAUCGCUGGGUAGCUAUGUGUGGCAGGGAUAAACGCUGAAAGCAUCUAAGCGUGAAGCCCCCCUCAAGAUGAGAUUUCCCAUUUCUUCGGAAAGUAAGAUCCCUGAAAGAUGAUCAGGUAGAUAGGUUUGGAGUGGAAGUGUAGCGAUACAUGGAGCGGACAAAUACUAAUCGAUCGAGGACUUAACCAAAA
RNAcentral lists this ribosomal RNA (2539 nucleotides) under Listeria monocytogenes. Its description in RNAcentral is "partial 23S ribosomal RNA". It matches the Rfam family "Bacterial large subunit ribosomal RNA", at positions 390 to 2925 of the family's 2925-position model. The record is from RNAcentral. Lineage: Bacteria; Bacillati; Bacillota; Bacilli; Caryophanales; Listeriaceae. RNAcentral also lists the same sequence under 1 other name.